Long non-coding RNA from Cebus imitator (Panamanian white-faced capuchin), 467 nucleotides. RefSeq lists it as uncharacterized. The record is from RefSeq and is a predicted model, not a curated record. The transcript has 3 exons. Lineage: Eukaryota; Metazoa; Chordata; Mammalia; Primates; Cebidae.
UUAAUGGUUUCAGCAUCAGUCACAUUUCAAAGGCUAGAUCUUUCCCAGGGCUUAAGCUGUUCCUCGGAUACUUUCAGUAAGUCAUUUAUUCACUAAUAAUUUAGUAAUCGUCUCCAACAUGCAGAACACUGUGCUCAGGGCUGGAAAUACAGAACCUGGGAAGCCACUCGCCUUGUCCUCAAGAUCUCUCUCUGGCCCUCUUUGAAUUUGCUAAUUCAGAUUUCCACAUUUCUGAAGUUUUCCCCCAGAAAAAAUCAUAAGGACCAAAUUAUAUCCAGUUUCUCAAAUGGCUUCAAAGACCCAUGUGGGGUCUUUGGCAUUGUGUAAUUCUUUACUGAUGUACUUUCAGAGUCAAGUUUUACUUUCUUCAUGCAGCUGUCAAAGACAGACACAAAGAGUGGGGGUGUCUUCCUCAUCAAAUCCUCUCCCACAGUACUCCAGAGUAUUUUCAUCAUUUAAGUAAACAC